CAGGCUUAACACAUGCAAGUCGAGGGGCAGCAUGGUCUUAGCUUGCUAAGACUGAUGGCGACCGGCGCACGGGUGAGUAACACGUAUCCAACCUGCCGUCUACUCUUGGACAGCCUUCUGAAAGGAAGAUUAAUACAAGAUGGCAUCAUGAGUCCGCAUGUUCACAUGAUUAAAGGUAUUCCGGUAGACGAUGGGGAUGCGUUCCAUUAGAUAGUAGGCGGGGUAACGGCCCACCUAGUCUUCGAUGGAUAGGGGUUCUGAGAGGAAGGUCCCUCACAUUGGAACUGAGACACGGUCCAAACUCCUACGGGAGGCAGCAGUGAGGAAUAUUGGUCAAUGGGCGAGAGCCUGAACCAGCCAAGUAGCGUGAAGGAUGACUGCCCUAUGGGUUGUAAACUUCUUUUAUAAAGGAAUAAAGUCGGGUAUGCAUACCCGUUUGCAUGUACUUUAUGAAUAAGGAUCGGCUAACUCCGUGCCAGCAGCCGCGGUAAUACGGAGGAUCCGAGCGUUAUCCGGAUUUAUUGGGUUUAAAGGGAGCGUAGAUGGAUGUUUAAGUCAGUUGUGAAAGUUUGCGGCUCAACCGUAAAAUUGCAGUUGAUACUGGAUAUCUUGAGUGCAGUUGAGGCAGGCGGAAUUCGUGGUGUAGCGGUGAAAUGCUUAGAUAUCACGAAGAACUCCGAUUGCGAAGGCAGCCUGCUAAGCUGCAACUGACAUUGAGGCUCGAAAGUGUGGGUAUCAAACAGGAUUAGAUACCCUGGUAGUCCACACGGUAAACGAUGAAUACUCGCUGUUUGCGAUAUACGGCAAGCGGCCAAGCGAAAGCGUUAAGUAUUCCACCUGGGGAGUACGCCGGCAACGGUGAAACUCAAAGGAAUUGACGGGGGCCCGCACAAGCGGAGGAACAUGUGGUUUAAUUCGAUGAUACGCGAGGAACCUUACCCGGGCUUAAAUUGCAGAUGAAUUACGGUGAAAGCCGUAAGCCGCAAGGCAUCUGUGAAGGUGCUGCAUGGUUGUCGUCAGCUCGUGCCGUGAGGUGUCGGCUUAAGUGCCAUAACGAGCGCAACCCUUGUUGUCAGUUACUAACAGGUUCCGCUGAGGACUCUGACAAGACUGCCAUCGUAAGAUGUGAGGAAGGUGGGGAUGACGUCAAAUCAGCACGGCCCUUACGUCCGGGGCUACACACGUGUUACAAUGGGGGGUACAGAGGGCCGCUACCACGCGAGUGGAUGCCAAUCCCAAAAACCUCUCUCAGUUCGGACUGGAGUCUGCAACCCGACUCCACGAAGCUGGAUUCGCUAGUAAUCGCGCAUCAGCCACGGCGCGGUGAAUACGUUCCCGGGCCUUGUACACACCGCCCGUCAAGCCAUGGGAGCCGGGGGUACCUGAAGUGCGUAACCGCGAGGAGCGCCCUAGGGUAAAACUGGUGACUGGGGC
This 1434-nucleotide ribosomal RNA is filed under the name uncultured organism. RNAcentral's name for it is "16S ribosomal RNA". It matches the Rfam family "Bacterial small subunit ribosomal RNA". The record is from RNAcentral.